Molecule: transfer RNA, 65 nt
Filed under: Geukensia demissa (ribbed mussel)
Lineage: Eukaryota; Metazoa; Mollusca; Bivalvia; Mytilida; Mytilidae
Description: tRNA-Thr
Source: RNAcentral
GCUUUUGUAGUAUAAUUUAGUUACUUGAGUUUUGUAGUCUUAAAGUCCAGUUGUUGGUGAAAGCU